RNAcentral lists this non-coding RNA (24 nucleotides) under Cricetulus griseus (Chinese hamster). The record is from RNAcentral. Lineage: Eukaryota; Metazoa; Chordata; Mammalia; Rodentia; Cricetidae.
CCAUGUGAUAGCUGAGAAUUGAAC